CCCCACACACUGGCAGUCUUAUCGAGCUGAGGGGAAGAUUUUUACAGAAAUGGAGGGCGUUAAAUGAGAACAGCCCAACAACGGGUUUCUUAUGGAAACCUCAAGAAAAUGAGAAAAUUUGUAACUGGAGAGGGGGGUGAGGGAGGAGCGUAUGCAAGCAAGAAAGUACAUCGCGUAUGUGUGGUAAAAACCUCUCGUUUGCAGACUGCUGCGCAGAACAGGCUGGCUGACUGCUAACCACAAGCAAAUAGGCCAACACAUGGGUCCUGGAAAUGAGAGCAUGGAGCAGUGAGGUUUACAAGAAGCUCAUGUUUGUGCAGAAUGCAUAUCAAGUGUCAGAUCUCCUAAACAUGGAGGCUAUAACCUCAGCGUCCUUCUUCAGACAGUGCAUAAUACUCACUAGAGACAGAGAUGCCUCGAUGUAUCGGUGCAGAGCUGGCACUGGGUGUGAUCACUGCAGCAGCCCCACGUCCGGAAACAUUGCAGGAGCCUGAUUAAGCUCAACAUCAGACAACGAGAUACAAGACUGAUCUGCUUAACUUAUGGCUUUAGGCAUUUCAGGUUUUUUUUCUUUGUUUUCCUUUUGCUCAGCACUCAGUGAAGAUGAGCUUUACUUGUGUGUUUCUUCUAAAAGAUUGAGAUAAUCACUGUUGCUUUGAUGUUUUCUGUGGAACUUUUCAUUAUAAAAUGCCCAGAACCAGACCAGUGAAGCAGGACCCCUACCUAGGCUGGCAUCCCUGGAGCUGACCCCUUUACAGCCUUGCAGUUACAGAACUGAAGACUGUUAUGUUAAAAUCAAGUGUGUAAAUUUGUGGCUGGAAGCAUUUGUCAACUUUUUCCUCCUCAAUUGCAACAUUUUAGGUUACUUUAGAGCUUGCCAGGAAUAAUUAAGGCAGAUUCUGAAUUCCGUUUAAAAACUUGGCUCAUGUGCUUCCAAGUAACUCUUUCAAAGUGCCUGCUAGCACUUUUUAAUUUUGCAGUUUAGUUGAUCACGUCUCGCUCUUCGUCAUCCCAGCGAGAUGUAUGCGCAAUCAGUGAUUUCCUAACAAGAACCAUUUGCCUGCCUGCCCUUUUCCAAAAGCGUACAGUUGGGUAUUUACAACCAAAGAUGUGAGCGUUGUACCAGAGAGACUGUGCAGGGAGGGAAUACUGAACACAGCCCGUUUUCCAACCACUAAAAUAUAUAGAGUUUUGUUUGGAGAAGUGACUGACAGCAGCACAGCGCCUGAGCUUGGAAGAGCACAAUUGUUCAGGUGUUUUGUGGCAACGCUUACGUGUUUAGUGCUUGAGUUUUUUCCCAUCUGGUGCACACAAAACGCUGAAAGUCUCCUCACAUGCUCAUUGACACUGUAAAAGAGACGUCAAGCAGUGAUGCAAGUAUUUCGCUGUUAGAGCUAUUAGUAGACUUUGCUGACAAAAAGGAAUUGGAUGAGUGAUGAGUGAAAGGUUGCGAUGGACAAGUUGGAGCGAGAUGUUAGUCACUGGACGCUGUGAGAGGACAGCAAGGGUUUGCGUCAGAGAGCUCCAAGAUCCUCAUCUGAAAUACGGGGGGAAAAAUAAGGAAUUAGCAAGACAAUUUCCUGUAAGUUAACCCUCUUGGAGGAGAGGAAGAGAAAGUGAUUCCCGAACAGGCUCUCCAGCUGCUCUGAGUGUUGGCCAUGAAACUGCUCGCCUGGAGCCCAUCUCCAGAGGAGUCCAGCAGCCUCCAGAGAUGCUUCAGAGCAACCCACAAGACGAUGCAGUCAGGUAGGCCCAGAGCCUCCGUCUGCCAGAAAACCAGGACUUUCCACAUAAUGGAGGCACUGAUGGUCCAAAAAUGACAUCAGGUUCUGUCUAAUAAAGACAAGAGGACAGAAGUGAUGAUGUUGGACCUGAUGACCACCAGCCUAGCGUGGUCUGCAGGCUCAGGGAGAGGAGGGGAUGAUAAAGAACAACAUAACCUCCUGUAUUUGCAAAUAACUCUCAAAUCCUUUUUUUGAACUUCUCCAUGUGCUUUGUCUUAUUUUUUAUGGUGCCAAGCUGCCUAUGCUACUUAGUGCUUUAGUAAGAGCACACCUCUCUCUAUACCAUAAAGGCACAAAGUUCUGCUAGCAUGAGGGUCUCUUGAGUGUGACCACCCUCAUCAGCCUGUCCUAACCCUACUGCACCAUUUGCUGGAAGCAUCAAAUGGGAUGAAUCCAGUCCCAGGCUGGCAGAGCCCUGUUUGAGGUCCUCAACUGCCCUAAAAGCCACUCUUGACCGCAAGGGAGGCUGAGGCCAGCGCAAGUUCCUCAUUUCGUCUCCAUACAGUUUGGCCAUUCAGUUGCUUGAGUAUGUAUAACUUCAAUCUAUCUCCAUCCUGAACCCAUUUUAAUUCCUACAGUGAAAGCCUCCUGCUGCUUUGGGCUUCAGCAUGUGAAAGCAGAAAGCGCCACAGCCUGCACCACAGGGGAAAGCUGCUUUUUGCCUUCUGAGGGAAGGGCCCGUUCUUCAGCCAAUGUUUUUGACAGAGCCAAGAUCGCUGGUGGCAGCUUCCUGUGAACCAUCCGUAGUGCUCGGUGCCCGUGCAGCUGUGGCUUUUGAGCAACGAUUUCUCUCUGGGUGUCUGUUGGCCUUUAUCAUGGGAAAAAACAGGGAGCUGCUCUUCUGCGCAAUCUAGAUGGCAGCAAACGUCAGAUUAUUUCUGUGCAAUGCACGUGAGCGGUAUUGACUUCUUGUGAGAUCUGAAUCUUUCUUAUCUUCAUGGGCCAGGUCCUGAUACUGCACUUGGAGGCAAGAGGCUAUGGCACGAGAGGCAGAGGGAUGCCGUGUGCUGUGCGGGCUGCUGUGCUCCAGCAUCCCAGGCACUGGGCUCAGGCACAGCCAGGGUUGAGGAUCCAUCCUGGCUCCGGGCUGGACUUAGAAAUCCACUCAAGGGACCCAAAUUUACCUCCUGGGUUCAUCAGCUCUUUGUUAUUUUGGGGUGGGACAUGCUCUUACUUUCAGCCCCCAAAGGCUGGUUGUUUGGACAUGAACUGGUGGGAGAAAGCAUCCUUCAGUCGAGCUGUGACGCCUGUGGCCCUCCUUCUCCCUUUAGCCUCUUUUCCAGCGCUGAUCAGCAUGAGUGUAGCCUUUCUGUACCACCAAUCCCCAGCACAGUGACCUACAGAUAAUGCAUCGAUGUGUAAUAUGUUUAUGUAGAUAACAGCGACCCCUGAGCGUGCAGUGACCCCGCAGCAGUUGGGGUUUAUCUGCUUUCUGAGCAGUUAUGAAUGAGAAACUUCUUUAUCAGGACCCCCAUCUGGGUGGACAACGCCUCACCCCUGUACCUGCAUGAUAUGGGGCCACCAGGAGGGAAUUUUCUUGCCCUAAAUCCCCUGUUGUCAAUGGCAGGAUAGCUGCUGUCACGCUGGGCACUCUCACAGUGUGGUCCCAAUGUAGUGAUGUUACAAAUUACUCAUCACUCCUGAGGUAAACUGGGAGAUAAAACAGCCCUGAGAGUUAUGACUGAGGAGUGAUUCAUCACUUGAGAUUUUGAGAUGUUUCUUCUCUGCUUUGGGGCUAUUUCCAGGCAUUUUGGGCACAUCAGGAAGAGUCCCAUGUGUCUGCGCAAGAGGCCAGAAGCAGCCCCCUCCCUCUCCCUGCCCCCUAAUUAAUGCCUUAGAAAAAUGCAAAGCCCUUAAUCUGCUUUACAUGUGAUUUGAAAGCAGCAGCAGUGCUUCAGCACCGCAGCAGUAAGACACUCCGAUAGCCAUACGAUGGCACGUUUCAAGGUUAUCACUGUUGCACAGGGGGCUGUGAUCUGUUCCCCUGCCCACGCCGACACAGCCCUGCGGGGCCUGCUCCCGUCGGGGACCUGGGAAGGUUCCGUGAGCCCGUGACCAGCGGAAAGUCAGAGGUGUGAUGGCAGGAACGACUUCCGUGGGCUGGGGCUGUGGGACCCUGCAUGUGUUUGCUCCAUUUCCUAUUGAUGCUGAGCACCACCUC
Molecule: long non-coding RNA, 3945 nt
Organism: Cygnus atratus (black swan)
Lineage: Eukaryota; Metazoa; Chordata; Aves; Anseriformes; Anatidae
Exons: 3
Source: RefSeq, a predicted model, not a curated record